UUUCUUGUCCCCCUUUUUGCUCUAUUACAAUCGUUUUAUAUAUCGAAAAAACAGAAUAAUAGAAAAAGGAGAAAAAAAUCUGUCAUUUUUUCGCUCUUUUCUUUUCUUCUUUUUUCUGUUUCUUUGUGCUGCGUUGUCCUUGUGUUGUCCGUCUUUCUUGCAGGUACAGAAGCCAGCUGACGUACGAAGGCGCUGACGUGGCACAUACGUGCUUGGCUGAGGAGACUAGAGGCGUGCAGCGGCUGCUGUGCGAGUGAGGAGCGGCGCACAAGUUUGUUAGGGUUUUUUGUUCCUGCACAUUAGUCGGGCUAGGUUAAUUGGGUUUAAUUUUGGGCUGGUAAUUAGUGGGUUUGUAAUUUGGGCCUGGUGUUGGGUAAUGCAAUUAGGUAAUGGGUUAGGUUUAUAUUGUAUUGAGUUUUGUAAUACUAAAAAAAGGACUACUAUUGGUUUUUAUUUUAUUUUGAUUUAUUUGUGUUUUUGAGCCCGGACAAAUUGGGCCUAUUACAGCUUGAAAACGUUGUGAGUGCUUUAAUAUCAGUCAAAACUGAGAAAGAUUGAGUGUGAUUAUGUAAAGA
RNAcentral lists this long non-coding RNA (575 nucleotides) under Gossypium raimondii (Peruvian cotton). Its description in RNAcentral is "long non-coding RNA (GRAI_LNC001219)". Lineage: Eukaryota; Viridiplantae; Streptophyta; Magnoliopsida; Malvales; Malvaceae. The record is from RNAcentral.